Molecule: non-coding RNA, 2222 nt
Organism: Lactuca sativa (garden lettuce)
Lineage: Eukaryota; Viridiplantae; Streptophyta; Magnoliopsida; Asterales; Asteraceae
Source: RefSeq, a predicted model, not a curated record
UUUUGUGGCAUUUUUAUGAGAGGAACCGUCACUUCAAACCCCUAGGUUUCUUAUUUUAUUUUCACUCCAAACCCCAAGGUCGAAAUCCUUUAUCUUUUCUUUGUUUAUCCCUCGUUUAUACUCAAUUGUUUCAAAGUUUAUUCCCGAAGGAAUUCCACUUAUCUAUCUUCUCUUUUGAUGAAAACUUCCUCCACUUAUCUAACCAGGUACUUUUAUUUAUUUAUUUAUUUACUUAUUUAUUUAUUUAUUUUUCUUUAAAGGUGGAUUACUGUGUAAUAAGUGUGGUUUUUUUUUGGAUUUUUCUUGGAUUUUUCGGCUAUUUUUUGUUGAUUUUAAACAGUUUUUUUAACAUUUUUAUGUCGGGUCGGUUCGACUAAAUGGGACAAUGUGCCAUCAUUUGAAAAGUCGAUCUCUUCACCUCCAAGCUUCCAUUCACCUCCUCCAAUGCUUCCCUACUUUCUCAGUACACUACUACCUCCAUCACCUCUCUCUACCCAACAACCCAAUAUACCGACGUUUGCUCAUUUCGCCGGCCUCUAUUAUUGGAUUAACAAGCACUUUGAAGGAUAUUGUCUGAUUCACUUUUCAUUCAGCCAGGAAAAAAAAUUAUAAUCUGAAACAUCUCUGUUAUAACGAUUCCCCCUUUGCAUAUUCAUCAUCAACAAAGAUCCCCUGGGUUUGUUUUCUGAUAUCCUUUUUGUGUUUUCUUUCUCUAAAAAAAUAUUGUUAAUGGUUCCAAAAGUUAGAUUUUAAUUUUAUUGCAUUUCAUAAAACAAAUGAUAUCUUUCAUCAUAUAUUUUAAUUGUCAUCGUACAAUGAGUGAGAUGGCAAACGGGCAACAACAUGUGCCCGCUAAGCCUUUUUGAAUGGUAAAACUAAUUCUUUUAAAAACUACAUUCUAAGAUCUAGGGAUAUACUUGUUGAUUGAAUUUUUGUGUUGUUGCGUCUUCUUACCUCAACUAGCUCUUCAGUUUUAGCUUUUUUCCAGCUUUUAAAAUUAUUAUGGGGGAUCGUUCUUGGGCAGAAAACGAUGCCCUCUAGGUUCAAGUGAUAGAUAUGGACAUAAGAAGCAUAAAGCCAUAAUUAUGCUCAACUAAGAAAAAGGAGUAAUGAAUGAUAAAAACUGAAAAUAAAAAUCUUGUCUUAGGAGAUGUAUACCAAUGGAAACAGUAUAGAAGAGAAGUCAUUAUAACAUGGAGGGAAAAGAGAGGUAAAUGUGCUAUGAUAUGUUCUGAUUUUGUUGACAAGAGGCAGUACAGGAGAGAAGCUAUUAUAAGAUGGAAGUUAAAGAGAAAGAAUUAUACAAGUGCAUCGAAGUUUGCCAUUUUUAUUUCGGGUGAGACCUCAAAAGUAUUUUCUGAUGUUUUAAUUGACAAGAAGCAAUACAGGGACGUUGAAAGGGGAAAUGGAAGGAAUGUUGUUUCCACAGUAGAAAAGCUUAUCUCACCUGUAACUACUACCAGUGUUGAACACCUUUUGGAUAUGGAAGAAAAUGUUUUGGCCAAUAAUUCUGAAAGUGCAAAGUACGUUUCGGUUAGGGAAUAUUAUGCUUACAAACUUCAAAUAUGUAGGCAUGAUAAAUCCCACUUGCUGCAUUUUGGUCGGCUGUUACAGCAAUACAUAGUUGAUAGCUAUGUUGAAUUAGAGACGCAAAGAUUAGCUUUUUAUAGGACAUAACAAGCUGAUAUACGACAAGAGUUUUCACAAGGAAUUGUCGACGCUAUGGCAAGUGGUGAAGUUUAUUUCUUGCUGGUCCGGCAGGAGAAAUGGUCUGAGGCAGCUCAAUAACUUCAGCAGACAAUCUGAGGGUAUCCUAUAUCUACAAAUUUAUGACAAUACAAGUGUAAACCAAUUACUGAUUCUUGAUUCAGAUGGACAUAUAAUUACUGAUUCUAAGUCAAGCCUAUAUCUAAUAUUUUGCUGGGUAUAUGAGUGAAAACAAUCCUCAUAGUAGUCGAUUUCAUGCAAAGACAUUGGAGGCUUUAAUGUGUGCUCAUAGUUUGUUUCUGAAUGAAAUUCCAGGGAUGAUAUUUGGAUGAUUCUGAGAGUUUUAAUGUUUAUAUGUAGUAUACUAUCAUGGCGAAUUUAGUUUUUCAUAUUUUAUACAUUUGCUGCCUUGGUUGUUUUUGUGAUGAUAUUAGACUAUUAUUAAUUUCUAUUUGGUUCAAUGAUGUUAGGAAAUUAUUUGGUAUUGUUAGUUUAUGUAAUGUUUUAAUUUCUCA